UCACACAAGUUGUUUCAAUGGAUGCAAAACGAAAUGGAGUUAUCGAUAUGCUUGAGUUCCCAAAACUAAACAGCCUCGUGCUUAUUGGUUUAAGCAAUUUUAAAAGCUUCAGAUUUGAAUCAAACAACGAUAGCAUUAUUUGAACUUUGUUCAACCAGGUUACAUUGCCUAACAUGGAGAAGCUGCGCAUUCUGAGAUUGCAUUAUAUAGUAAAGUUAGUGAACAUGAGGGCAAAGAAUACAAGUAAAUCAUUACAAAAUCUUGAAAUACUUCAUGUAGAAGACUGUGAAUCACUGGAAGUGCUGUUUGACUUUGAAUGUCUAACAAUUCCAUAAGAUCAUGCUGAAGGUGUAUUUGGUCAACUGAGAUCGCUGAGGCUAGAAUCUCUGGACAAAUUAGUGCACAUUAUAGGGACCGUUCCUAAAGGAAUUCGUAUCUUUGAGAAUUUGACAUCAAUUGUUGUUAAAGAAUGUAGUAUCUUAAAAUACCUAUUCUCACCUUCAAUGGCCUAUUCUCUUGUGGCACUGAAAAUUAUAAAGGUUACAGAUUGUGAAUCAAUUAAAGAGAUUUUUGGAAAAGAAGAAGAAGGCACUUUAGAGAUCCAAAUAGUUGAAGCAAUGAAAACCACAAUUGUGUUUCCUAAGUUGGACAGUUUACUACUUUGGAAUCUUUCAAGUAUUCAAAUGUUUUGCUCUCAGAACUGUGAACUUGAGUUCCCUUUAUUGGAGGACUUGACCGUUGAAAAUUGCCCUAUGAUGAGAAAAUUGAGUCCAUGGCCAGUAAGUGCACCAAAGCUUUGAUAUUUCCAAUUUGUUAGUUAAGGCAGGCAGCUUGGAAGAGGAGGAUCAAGUGUGUGACAAAUAAAAAUUACUUGAGAAAUAUAAAGUUCUUUAUUUCCUAGGUAUAAAUCCUGAUGAAAUUAUUUCUUGUCUAUAAAAUAUCUAUUUAAAUUCUACUGAUUAAAUUAUUAAAAACUGUGUAAUAAGUAUUGUUAGUCUUAUUUGAAAUGCUCGCAAUAUACAAUGAGUGGUUUAAUUUCAA
This is a long non-coding RNA of Olea europaea var. sylvestris, 1041 nucleotides long. RefSeq lists it as uncharacterized. NCBI's taxonomy places the organism in Eukaryota, Viridiplantae, Streptophyta, Magnoliopsida, Lamiales, Oleaceae. The record is from RefSeq and is a predicted model, not a curated record. The transcript has 3 exons.